RNAcentral lists this ribosomal RNA (113 nucleotides) under Acanthosepion pharaonis. Lineage: Eukaryota; Metazoa; Mollusca; Cephalopoda; Sepiida; Sepiidae. The record is from RNAcentral.
UAUGGCCACAUCACAUUGAAACACUGAUUCCCAUACGAUCUCCAAAGUUAAGCAACAUUAAGCCUGGCCAGUACCUAGAUGGGUAACUGCUUGGGAAUACCAGGUGCUGUAAG